CAGCCGUGGUUACUUUGUAAUUAUGCAAAGUGGAAGACGAAAGUUGAAAGCUUCCGAUCCCUUUGUUACUUCACACUGGAGUCUAGCCUCCCGCACCCGGGAAUCCGCUUCCACAAAGAAGAUGCAAUUCAGGAAAAAUCCUUAAUUCUUCUGCAGGUAGGUUUGUUUUUAUCUUUUCCCCUUCCACCUGCUAGGAGGAGGGAUAUUGGAAAGACUUGAAAGUUUCUAAACAAUAAGUCUAAAGUUACGGCUUUUGGUUAUGUUAGCUGCUUUCGUUUUUACUUCAGUGAAAGAGAUCGACCUCUGUUUUUUAAAUCUCUUUCCUUCCCCAAUCGAAGUUCCAAAUUCAAUCCUUUCCAGGAAGGAUAGUCCAGAUUUUUAUUUUGUUUCUUUCCUUAGAGAACUUGGUUGCUCACAAUCGCCGGACUCAGAGCUUCACGCUUUGAAGGAAGCAAGUUGAUUCCCUAGUGCCACCGUCUCCACC
Molecule: non-coding RNA, 484 nt
Organism: Podarcis lilfordi (Lilford's wall lizard)
Lineage: Eukaryota; Metazoa; Chordata; Lepidosauria; Squamata; Lacertidae
Source: the annotation of a GenBank genome assembly